GUCCUAGCUGUAAACGAUGGACACUAGGUGUGGGAGGUAUCAACCCCUUCCGUGCCGACGCUAACGCAUUAAGUGUCCCGCCUGGGGAGUACGGCCGCAAGGUUAAAACUCAAAGGAAUUGACGGGGCCCGCACAAGCGGUGGAGCAUGUGGUUUAAUUCGACGCUACGCGAAAACCUUACCUGGGCUCGAACGACUGGUGUUAGUUCUGUAGAAAUACGGAAUGACCCGCAAGGGAGCCAGCCGAGGUGCUGCAUGGUUGUCGU
This 265-nucleotide ribosomal RNA is filed under the name uncultured bacterium. Its description in RNAcentral is "partial 16S ribosomal RNA". It matches the Rfam family "Bacterial small subunit ribosomal RNA", at positions 793 to 1055 of the family's 1533-position model. The record is from RNAcentral.